Molecule: ribosomal RNA, 637 nt
Filed under: uncultured bacterium
Lineage: Bacteria
Description: partial 16S ribosomal RNA
Rfam family: Bacterial small subunit ribosomal RNA (bases 1-534)
Source: RNAcentral
CCUACGGGAGGCAGCAGUGAGGAAUAUUGGACAAUGGGCGCAAGCCUGAUCCGGCCAUGCCGCGUGCAGGAUGACGGUCCUAUGGAUUGUAAACUGUUUUUAUACGAGAAGAAACACCCCUACGUGUAGGGACUUGACGGUAUCGUAAGAAUAAGGAUCGGCUAACUCCGUGCCAGCAGCCGCGGUAAUACGGAGGAUCCAAGCGUUAUCCGGAAUCAUUGGGUUUAAAGGGUCCGUAGGCGGUUUAGUAAGUCAGUGGUGAAAUCUCCCCGCUCAACGGGGAAACGGCCAUUGAUACUGCUAGACUUGAAUUAUUAGGAAGUAACUAGAAUAUGUAGUGUAGCGGUGAAAUGCUUAGAGAUUACAUGGAAUACCAAUUGCGAAGGCAGGUUACUACUAAUGGAUUGACGCUGAUGGACGAAAGCGUGGGGUAGCGAACAGGAUUAGAUACCCUGGUAGUCCACGCCGUAAACGAUGGAUACUAGCUGUUGGGUGCAAACUCAGUGGCUAAGCGAAAGUGAUAAGUAUCCCACCUGGGGGAGGUACGUUCGCGAGAAGAGUAAACGUACUAAAUUAGUUAAGUUAGUUACGGCGUGAGGACGUUGCCGAACGGACGACCGACCGAGGGGAGGUUAGG